UUAGUGGCGAACGGGUGAGUAUCACGUGAGUAACCUUCCCUUGACUCUGGGAUAAGCCCGGGAAACUGGGUCUAAUACCGGAUACGACCAGUCCUCGCAUGGGGUGCUGGUGGAAAGAUUUAUCGGUCUUGGAUGGACUCGCGGCCUAUCAGCUUGUUGGUGAGGUAAUGGCUCACCAAGGCGAUGACGGGUAGCCGGCCUGAGAGGGUGACCGGCCACACUGGGACUGAGACACGGCCCAGACUCCUACGGGAGGCAGCAGUGGGGAAUAUUGCACAAUGGGCGAAAGCCUGAUGCAGCGACGCCGCGUGCGGGAUGACGGCCUUCGGGUUGUAAACCGCUUUCAGCAGGGAAGAAGCGAAAGUGACGGUACCUGCAGAAGAAGCGCCGGCUAACUACGUGCCAGCAGCCGCGGUAAUACGUAGGGCGCGAGCGUUAUCCGGAAUUAUUGGGCGUAAAGAGCUCGUAGGCGGUUUGUCACGUCUGCUGUGAAAGCCCGAGGCUCAACCUCGGGUGUGCAGUGGGUACGGGCAGACUAGAGUGCAGUAGGGGAGACUGGAAUUCCUGGUGUAGCGGUGAAAUGCGCAGAUAUCAGGAGGAACACCGAUGGCGAAGGCAGGUCUCUGGGCUGUUACUGACGCUGAGGAGCGAAAGCAUGGGGAGCGAACAGGAUUAGAUACCCUGGUAGUCCAUGCCGUAAACGUUGGGCACUAGGGUGUGGGGAACAUUCCACGUUUUCCGCGCCGUAGCUAACGCAUUAAGUGCCCCGCCUGGGGAGUACGGCCGCAAGGCUAAAACUCAAAGGGAAUUGACGGGGGCCCGCACAAGCGGCGGAGCAUGCGGAUUAAU
RNAcentral lists this ribosomal RNA (849 nucleotides) under Nesterenkonia sp. E12(2011). RNAcentral describes it as "bacterial SSU rRNA". It matches the Rfam family "Bacterial small subunit ribosomal RNA", at positions 92 to 950 of the family's 1533-position model. The record is from RNAcentral. Lineage: Bacteria; Bacillati; Actinomycetota; Actinomycetes; Micrococcales; Micrococcaceae.